AUAAAAGUGAUUACUCUGCUGCAAAGGUUUUUAUAGGGUUUAGGUCUUGCUAAGGGGGAUGUUUAGGGGAGAGAAGCUUUUUUUUAUGGUCAUGUAUAGGAACUGACACUUUGUCUGCAGCAAUCUACUUUACCUCCUAAACAUAUCGGUACUCAAAGACUCCAUCUGUUGGAUUUGUAUGAGUAAUCCUGGGGCUGGCAUUUCUUUGCCCUUCAUGUAGAAGCCUGGAGGUGAAGUCUUUUAAGAGCCUGCAUUUUAACUUAAAAUAUGCUUUCUUGGAAAGGGGGAGCUCUUCUAAUUUAACAUAUCAAAUAGCAGAGAUCCUUGUAACUCUGGAACAAGGAGGCUCAAGACAGACACCAGAUUCGAUCUUCAAAGGAGGCAAACCUGCUUUUAUCCAGGCACCGAUUCGAGGAGAAGUCUGUCUCUUUAAUUGCAUCUCCCAGAGAGGGUCCAAUCUCUGUCCCGCUGCAUGCUACGGUCCUCAAGUUGCUUGGCAGGUCAGUUUACCAAUUAACAUUUUGCAGAUA
This 530-nucleotide long non-coding RNA is filed under the name Ornithorhynchus anatinus (platypus). Its description in RNAcentral is "lncRNA (ENSOANG00000037664.1)". Lineage: Eukaryota; Metazoa; Chordata; Mammalia; Monotremata; Ornithorhynchidae. The record is from RNAcentral.